This 531-nucleotide ribosomal RNA is filed under the name uncultured bacterium. RNAcentral describes it as "bacterial SSU rRNA". It matches the Rfam family "Bacterial small subunit ribosomal RNA", at positions 98 to 664 of the family's 1533-position model. The record is from RNAcentral.
GCGAACGGGUUAGUAACGCGUGGGAACAUACACAGCACAGGGGGAUAACCAUUGGAAACGAUGGCUAAUACCGCAUACGCCCUAUUGGGGAAAGAUUUAUCGGUGUUGGAUUGGCCCGCGUUAGAUUAGCUAGUUGGUGGGGUAAUGGCUCACCAAGGCGACGAUUUAUAGCUGGUUUGAGAGGAUGAUCAGCAACACUGGAACUGAGACACGGUCCAGACUCCUACGGGAGGCAGCAGUCGGGAAUAUUGUGCAAUGGGGGCAACCCUGACACAGCCAUGCCGCGUGAGUGAAGAAGGCCUUAGGGUUGUAAAGCUCUUUCAGAUGUGAGGAUGAUGACGAUAGCAUCAGAAGAAGCUCCGGCUAACUUCGUGCCAGCAGCCGCGGUAAUACGAAGGGAGCUAGCGUUGUUCGGAAUUACUGGGCGUAAAGGGCGUGUAGGCGGAUUAUCAAGUUAGGGGUGAAAUCCCGGGGCUCAACCUCGGCACUGCCUUUAAGACUGAUAAUCUAGAGUAUGUGAGGGGAUAAUGG